GCUGCCGAGGAGAGCGCCCGGCACGGCAGCGUGAGACGGGGCGGGGCGGGAGGCCGGGACGAGAGUCACCCCCCUCCCCAUCGCUCCUCUCCCCCUCGACCCACCCGGUUCCUUCUGAACCGGCUCACGGGGAAGGGGGCGGUGAGAAAACUGCUUUUGGAACCCGAGUUCCACUUGCAGGGGUCAGAUCCCCAUCGCCUGCCUCCCCUUUCCCGUCUUACCCGCUCUCACCAAUCCCAGGAGGAUCGUCUGGGGGGACCGUCCAGCCUGGGGAGCCUGACCCCCACCACCCCCAAGAGGGAACGGGAGAAACAGUCCUCACGCAUCACUGGAUUUUGUCCCGGGAACGACUCAAGAUGCGGGAAAAAUGAGUCAUCCGCCUCGACCGGAAAGGACGCCUGCAGCGCUCCCUCCGUGCGCGCCGAGCGUCCCAGGCCCAGUUCCACCCACGGAGCACACGGGUCGGGGGACAAGGACGGAAUGAAAGAGCCAACGGGCCAGAAGGCCACCAGAGAGAAAACCGAGGAAGAGACCUGGCCGGACUCAGUAAACCAAGGAGACCGGUUCCCUCGGCAGGCCGCCGCGCAUCGGGAGAUGACGAGCCAGGGUCUCAGUCCCCCCGACUCCCCGGGACUCGCCGGCAGGACAGCGGCCCCCGCGGCUUGGGCGGAAGCCUGGAACCCCGCCUCCGCCAGGAUGCCCUCCGCUCCUCAGAGCGCUGGCCGUACCUCAUCCCGCUGCCCCGGCAACCCCAAACAUCCCAUCUUUGGGAGGCUCGAACCCCGGGAUCCAAAAUGCUUACCGACCGCUCCUCCUCCCCGGGGUCUUCGAUCGCGAACACCAGCUGACGAUUGAUCUCCUCCACGCUGAUGAGCGAUCGCGUUUUGAUGAAGUGUUGGAAAGACACCGCCUCGACGUAUUCCUGGAGACCUGCCGGGUGGGCCCGACGCAACGGGUCAGUCAGGGGAAGAAGCAGCAGCGAGCCGGUGAGACCGUCCCUGCCAACCUCUCGCUCCCACCCAGCAGCACGGGGCCGGGGGGCUCACGGAACCCGCCAAAACAGACAUUUCUCAGAGGAGAGAUACCAAAUGGGCGAUCCCUCGGUCUGGGAGGCCGAUCAAGGCGGGCCCCGCUUGCUCGUUCCCUCCGCCGCCCCCACCCGCCGCUGGAUCCCUCCCCCGUCCCCUUACCCAGUCCUCCUCUCUUUCAGCUCUCAGCUCCAACCCCAGCGCCUUCAGCCGAACCGGCCUUCCUUGGCUUCCUUGGCCGCUCCCUCCCUCGGAUCCCGGGCUCGCCUAAGAUCGGACAGGUUUCUUGCGCUCCCUCGACCCGGGGACAAUCCCUCGCGGAGGGGUCAAUCCCCACCGGCUCCGGCCACUUGCUGGGACCCACUAAGGAAAGAAGUCCAAUGACGGAAUGGGCGAGAACAGCGGCAGAGUGAGAGAAAAAUCUUUCCGUGCCACCGUCCCAAUCACUCAAUUAGGUACACGAUCCGGGAUGGAAGAACUGCCCCGCCGGAACCUUCCCUCGACAUCCUUUGAGUCUGUCACCUUUCCCCUGAACUCUCCACUAUCAGCGUUCUCUACUUUAGUGCCGAGUACAGGGGUGAGCACGUAGUAGGUACUCAAACGGCACCAUUAUGGUGUUUGAUUACCGCAUGGAAGGACACGUGGCAGGCGCUUCUCACCGCAAGAAAAGCCAUUAACGUCUCACUGGGAAAACGCUGCCAUCUUCCUCUUUAGCAAGACAAAAAGCCAUGAUGAAGAAAACCCGAUUUCUCCUGCGUGGAGUGCGUGUGCGGAGGCGGGAGUUCUCGGGGGGCAGGCCGGGUUGGGUUUUGGGGUGUACAGUGCCUCCACGCUGUACAUAGUUGAGCGCUUAGCAAAUAACUUUAAAAAAAAGCGUCUUCCAUCACCCUGAGGUUUCAAGUGUCUUUUGAUCAAGACGCUGAAAUCUUGCUACUGUCUCGCUCUGUUGGAUUUCUCCAAAACAUCCAAAUCUUUUCUCCGUCCAAAAUUCCAAAGUUUCUGUUGACUCGGGCUCACGCCAAGAACAGCUCGGGGCAAGAAAAUCGAACCCGGCCCAACCGUCCAACGAGCCGAAAGGCCCGGUCUCGUUGCCCCACAGAUGAGCUCACCGGUGCGAGUGCUCGCGUGGGCGUGCUGGGGCACUGGGCGGGGGCUCAUCGUUUCAAGACGGACGCGUGAUGUAAAAAGCAGCACGCUCAAUUCCCGAGAUUGAAGGAGGUUUUCCUUGGAGGAAAAACUAAGAAGGAUGACGGAGAUGUGCGUUCUGGCACGUGCAGCCCACCGGGAAAAGAACAUGAUCAAACAAAGAGGACAACUGUUAAAAAGUGAAUCCUACCGCCCAUUCUGAAGUCACCCAGGACUGCUUGACUCAGGCGCUCUGAUUCUACCCACGUUCAGACACGGCAAGCUAGGCCAGCGGGACGAUUCUCCUGCUCAAGCCCUGGGUGGGUGCCCUGGUGGAGCCUGACCUGGAGUGAUGGCCCGGUGAAACUGGUGCAGGUCUUCUCCCAGCAGCUCCUGGGCCACCUGCUUCAUUUUCUGCCUGACGGCCUCCAGCUUACUCUCCGACUCGGUCAGUAUCUCCUCGGCGUCUGGAGCGCUGCAGGGACAAAGGGACAAGGCUCCUGACGUUCGGUCUUCCCACCGUGGGGUUUUCUAGGCUCCGGUUCCUACCGCAAGCACACUGCAGACUUGGGGAAGGGGUUCUAGAGCACACAGAGUACGUAGGAAAUGUUUCUGUGGCUGAAAAGGGCGCAGGAUUCUGUCUGUGACAGAGUCGGGUUCCACAUAGGGUUCUAGAGUCCCUGCUAUUUCGGGACAAAACUGAAGCUCCGAAACGCAACGGGGAAAUGAGACCCAGGAAUUGUUCUCUGGUACUCGUAAAAAGUCACAUUUUUGCACUGAAAGCUUAAAAUGCCAAUGGGAAAAUCUAUCACCACCAGGGCCUUCAAACCCAACUGCUGCACCCUAUAAGCUUAUAUUUCUAUACCAAGUAAUACAGCAGGAUUGACCAACUGAAUGUAGAAAGGGUGGAUGAGAGGAUGCUAAGUGUUUGAUGGAACAGAGACACGUACAGACAAGG
Ornithorhynchus anatinus (platypus) is the source of this 3111-nucleotide long non-coding RNA. RefSeq lists it as uncharacterized. Lineage: Eukaryota; Metazoa; Chordata; Mammalia; Monotremata; Ornithorhynchidae. The record is from RefSeq and is a predicted model, not a curated record. The transcript is spliced from 4 exons.